RNAcentral lists this ribosomal RNA (406 nucleotides) under uncultured bacterium. RNAcentral's name for it is "partial 16S ribosomal RNA". It matches the Rfam family "Bacterial small subunit ribosomal RNA", at positions 30 to 526 of the family's 1533-position model. The record is from RNAcentral.
AUUGAACGCUGGCGGCAGGCCUAACACAUGCAAGUCGAGCGAGCGGCGGACGGGUGAGUAAUGUCUGGGAAACUGCCUGAUGGAGGGGGAUAACUACUGGAAACGGUAGCUAAUACCGCAUACCAUCAGAUGUGCCCAGAUGGGAUUAGCUAGUAGGUGGGGUAACGGCUCACCUAGGCGGCGAUCCCUAGCUGGUCUGAGAGGAUGACCAGCCAGACUGGAACUGUGACACGAUCCAGACUCCUACGUGAGGCAGCAGUGGGAGAUAUUGCACAAUGGGCGCAAGCCUGAUGCAGCAAUGCCGCGUGUGUGAAGAAGGUCUUCGGGUUGUAAAGCACUUUCAGCUGGGAGGCGUUACCCGCAGAAGAAGCACCGGCUAACUCCGGGCCAGCAGCCGCGGUAAUAG